AGGUGCUACAAUUUAAACGAGUUCGUUUUUUCCAGCUAGAUCGCUAUAACAAAUCGCGGUUUGAGUAGAAUUAUUCGGCCGCUACAUGGCGUUGUGAGCCACGAGAAACGAAACACAGUGUAUUGCAUUGGUCUCCUUGAACAACGAGCUUCACGCUGUUCCCUGCGUUCCGGAUGCGAGAAAUGAUCUCAUCCCUCGUCGCGAUCUCCACAUUGAUGCCAUCGAUCUCGAUCAAACGAUCUCCGGGGAACAAACGAGUGGACGACUCCUCUCCCGCAUCAGAUGCCUGCAUUGAUGCUCCUGAAGAGGAAGAUUUUUAAAAAAAGGUUCGGCAAAAUACACAGUUCGUGUGACUUCUUGUCCGUCAAUCAUUUCUAUGACAGCGGAUCUUCGAAGAGAAACGCCAAAAUCCCCUGCUUCCCUUUUCUUUAGUGUAACCUUGGAAAAAGAGGACAUUUCAAGAUUAUUUAUGAUGGUUUAGGUUUUGGUUUAACAGCAGGAGGGGCAAAUACAACUGGACGAGUUGCUUCUGCCAAUUCUGCUUUCCGUGGAACGGAAUAUCCAUCGGAUUUCUUACUGGUUGUUCAGAUGAGGUUUCACCAGGUGCAUAAAGGGAGAGUGGACGAGAAAUGUCUCGUUUCUGGAUGGGUUCAUCUUUUUUGGAACCAGAUCUGAAACCAAGUGUCAAAUAAUAAUUAUACCUUUAUAUCGUAUUCCAAAAUCUUAGUGCACAACAUGUCUGAAUAUAACUAAAUUAGGAAAAUUUUUUUAAAUUGGGUAAAAUAAUUGCAUGAAAUUUUUUAUAGUAUUGCUACCUGUUUGAAAUGCUAUCACACUAAACAGUGUUACGUAAAAAAAAAAUUGAAAGAGUCAAAUUUUUAAUUAGGUGAAAAAUUUUUUGAAUUGCGUAAAAAAAUUUAUAGUACUUCCAUUUAAAUUGGUACCACACUAAACAGUGUUAAAGUAAAUUAAUUCUUUAACGUAUCAAACCUAAUCAAAUUAUAAUAUAACUAAAGGCAGAAAAAUUUACCCUAACAGGUUGAUUCUCUUGAGCUAAGCUUCAAAUAUAAAUAAUGCAUAAUGUAUAUAGUGGGGUGGGGAAAGACGGGACACCUGUUUAUUCUAUUUUCUCGUCCCAUUUGGUAGUUAACAAUGAAAAUUAAAAGAAUUAUAAAACCGUAUUCUCAUGCCUACUAUAGACUGUUGUUAAUUGUUUUAAACCUGAUCAGGAUAUUUUGAUAUUGUGUGCUAAAGGCGUCCCAUCUUUCCCUAAGCUACUAUAUACAUAAUUCAUGAACUGAUAAAGUGGAACAAAAAUUUCUGCCAAUAUAUAAGUUCCAGAUUGGGAAGUUGAUUUUUGCACAGGAGAUAAUUUUUAGGUUUUUCGUAUGUAUUGUCAAAAAAGCCAAGUUUUGACUUUUUGACUGCCAUGGACAAUUGUUGUCAGUUUUAGAUAUUUGAUGUCAGUCACAGACAAAUUCUGUUUCUAACAAACAAGUUUUGUUUGUCUUGCAAGCCAUAUUUUGUCAUAUUUCUGUCUGUAAUCCAUAUUAAAACAAAAAUUGUUUUUAAUCUUGUUUAUAUCGAACUAUUUUUUUCCAAUAAUUUUUUCAUCAUAAACACAAUCUUUACACUUGCAGUUCCCUAUUCAUGUCCUAAUAUUUAAAUUUCAGUAUUCCACAUGUUCAUACUUUUUGCUGAAAAAUCCUCUUCUUAUUCCAACUUCUUCCAGUUUAGUUAUCUCCGCUUGUGUCAUUCCGGGUUUGUGACGUUUCUUCUCACGCCGCUCAUCUUUGUUCUUCUUCCGUCCAAACAUUUUUGAACUUUUCUAUUUAGAACUAUCACAUCUGCUAAAUAAAUUGUUUAAUCAUUAAA
This is a non-coding RNA of Ciona intestinalis (vase tunicate), 1875 nucleotides long. NCBI's taxonomy places the organism in Eukaryota, Metazoa, Chordata, Ascidiacea, Phlebobranchia, Cionidae. The record is from RefSeq and is a predicted model, not a curated record.